RNAcentral lists this ribosomal RNA (406 nucleotides) under uncultured bacterium. RNAcentral's name for it is "partial 16S ribosomal RNA". It matches the Rfam family "Bacterial small subunit ribosomal RNA", at positions 30 to 526 of the family's 1533-position model. The record is from RNAcentral.
AUUGAACGCUGGCGGCAGGCCUAACACAUGCAAGUCGAACGAGUGGCAGACGGGUGAGUAAUGUCUGGGAAACUGCCUGAUGGCGGGGGAUAAAUACUGGAAACGGUAGCUAAUACCGCAUACCAUCAGAUGUUACCAGAUUGGAUUAGCUAGUUGGUGGGGUACAGGCUCACCAGGGCGACGAUCACUAGCGGGUCUGAGAGGAUGAACAGCCACACUGGAACUGAGACACGGUCCAGACUCCUACGGGAGGCAGCAGUGGUGACUAUUGCACAAUGGGCGCAAGCCUGAUGCAGCCAUGCCGCGUGUAUGAAGAAGGCCUUCGGGUUGUAAAGUACUUUCAGCGGGGAGGCGUUACCCGCAGAAGAAGCACCGGCUAACUCCGUGCCAGCAGCCGCGGUAAUUC